RNAcentral lists this long non-coding RNA (2076 nucleotides) under Equus asinus (donkey). RNAcentral describes it as "lncRNA (ENSEASG00005026812.1)". Lineage: Eukaryota; Metazoa; Chordata; Mammalia; Perissodactyla; Equidae. The record is from RNAcentral.
CUUUUAUUUUCUGUCUUCUUUGCCUUCAAGUGUCAAUUGGCUCCUCUCAGUCACAGCUGUACAAAUCACAGGAUUUUUUUUUUUAUUGGCAUAAGACAUAUGCAUUAUUCAUCUAUUCAGUUUCAUCUGAAGGAAAUCCAAAAAAGACACAACUUUACCUUCCAAAGAAAUAUUUAAAGCUGCUUUUUCCCUGCGAGAAAGUAGGCAGAAAACUUCAUCCAUGAUCUACGUCCCCAUGUUCAACCCAGCUCUCCAUGAUGGGAGAAUUAAGUCCUUGACAGCAACCAUCAACCACUAAUGAAAAGAGCAAAAACAGAAGAUGUGAGAUCCAAGCUCUCUCUCAGAAGAUAAAAGUUACCUUAUAAAAGAGACAGUCGUGGUUUUAUAAGCAAAACAGGACUUUCUCAACAUCUCACAGCCAUCUCAUUAGCCAAUGCUCUCUCAUCACGAGUGAUCGUGGUUAUUUAGCGUCAGAAGCAAAAUAUGGGAGAUCUGUCUGCAGGCAAGUGGAGACAAGGCAUAAGAAAGGAAGAGCUAGGUGUGUGAGGAAAAUGCUGAAGUGGACAUACUUUAGUGCCUGAUUCAUAAGGACGAAAAGGCAUCGACUCGAGCAGAGAUGUAACCCCUUCUGGGUGGGAUGCCCAAUUCCCAGAAAACAUUUAUUGAGCAUCUACUUGAUGCCCAGCAUUGUGCUAGGUGCUGGGGAUGCAAGAACAAUCGUGGUGGACUGCUCCCUGUCCUCAUGCAAUCAACAGGAAUCCUGUUACCAGAAGCAGCAGAGGAAAAGGGACCCUAGGAGAUCAUCAGCUGGAAGACUGCAGGAUUACAGCUGCCUCAGUCCGGAUCCCAACGGCACAACUACUUCCAAAACUGUCUCCCGGUGAGGCAGCUAAGAUGCGGAGAGAAGAAAUGGGGAGUCAGGAGCUCCAGCCCUGUGUGUCCAGGGUACGUAUGUAAAAAGGCAACCUAAAUUCAGAUUUAAAGCUUCUUGUUGCCCAGGAUGUGCUGGACGCAGACAUCAAGCAUGGGAGGUAGAUAUCCUCCCUGCUUUUCAGAUGAGGAAACUGCCCAUCAGAAAGUCAAGCGACGCCCCGUGCACGCCUGGUUGGUGCCGGAGGCAGGAUGGAAAGCCUGGUCCUGCUGACUCCAGGACCUUCCUCUCCCCACAGGGGCUUGUAACAUGCCCCAAAAUCAACAAAUAAGCCAAAAAUAAAUCCAAUCUCAAAGCAAAAAUAGUCUUUCUUUUUCUAGUUUCCUCCAGUUGUGAAAGAAAAACAAGACUUUGGAGUUCCAUUUAUAAGGAUAAAAUUUCCUGUGAUUUGUGAAAAUGGUAAAAGUAUAUACAGCUGUAUAAGGUCUCACCGUGGCACCUGAGUCCGGCAUGUUUCCUUACUUGAUAUACACGUCUUCCUUUGUCCUGCACUUCACAUUUGAUCUACAAGACGUAAAUUCUUCGAGGGAUAAAAGACUUGGUGAGCACAGAAUCAAAAACCAAUAAAGGGAUUUUUUUGUUUUUUUUUUAAAUGUUCUUGCUAACAUAGAAAGGCUUACAGGUAGACCACUCAACCUAACAUGAUGCCCUGUGAGGUGUCGGGUAUAAGGUGAGCAAGUGGGCUCUGUGAAAACAACUCCAAGAUGCAGAGGAAAAGAACUCUGGAGUGAGGUGCUGUGAACAACGCUCUUAGCAAACAGAAUUAUUUUUGAUGUUGUUUCCACCUGGCUGAUGAUUGUUUUAGAGCAAGUCUCCUGUCACGGCCUGGCAUUGGAUCUGCAGAAUUCCUUAACAGACACUGGGCCGGCAGGCAGGAAGACAUCACACGCCCGGCGAAGAUACAAAACGUCCGGGGCAUUGCCAUGACUCUCAAGGUGUUGUUUAGAGUUCAUGUGAGUACUUCUAAAAAUACGAUGGGAUGGCCUUUCCGAGCUUGUUUCCUUUAGAUGCUAGACCAUCAAUCAACAGACGAGAAACAGCUAUUAGAAGAUAAGUUUGAGAAAAAUGUACAAUAUUUAAUCAGUCCUUACUGUGUGGUUUUUCUGUGCUGAAUCUCCCAUUCAACAUUCAGCCCCAAAUUCUAC